Molecule: non-coding RNA, 138 nt
Organism: Gossypium raimondii (Peruvian cotton)
Lineage: Eukaryota; Viridiplantae; Streptophyta; Magnoliopsida; Malvales; Malvaceae
Source: Rfam
UAUUAAAAAUUUCAUUUAUGCAUACUGUUAAAAAUUAACGUGGCUGACAAAAUAAUCAAAUAGUGACAUGUCACGUAUAUGUCAUGUUGGCGUACAUGGGCUAGCUUUAAAUAGUAAAAAUGGAUAAUAUUUUUAACC